Molecule: long non-coding RNA, 274 nt
Filed under: Nicotiana benthamiana
Lineage: Eukaryota; Viridiplantae; Streptophyta; Magnoliopsida; Solanales; Solanaceae
Description: long non-coding RNA (NBEN_LNC005578)
Source: RNAcentral
UUGCCAUCCCAACUUCUUUCCCAUUGAUGUGACUUCAUAAUUCUUGCACUGUGCAUUGGUGAUAAAUCACCUUUUAUUGAAGCAUCUGCUCGGCAUUGGUUUAUGAAAUCCUCUUCUUCCCCUUCUUCGUAUAUAUGAUUUCCUGCGCAACUAAUUUUUGGCAAUUCUUGACUUACACCUUGGGUUGUUAAUUGUGCAUUAUUCAAGACAGAACUACCAGGAAUAAUGUUGGUUUCUGUAUUCACUAUUACUUCCAAGAUUUGCUUUUCCUCAG